AUAAAAAAUCCACUUAUUUUGGGCUUUUGCAAAACCGGGUCACCUUUUUCGUUUUUGCAGAUUCGGUCCGCUUUUUCAGCAAACUGACCAAAAUACCCUUAUUACUUUUUCUCUUUCCUCUUUCUCUCCCCUCUUCGUUUCUGUCGUUCUUUUUUUUUUUCUCGCCGAAAAAAAAAGGCGGACCGUCGCCUUCUUCUUCACCGUCGUCUCCCUCCUCACCAUCCUUCUUCACCGUCGCCCCCCUCCUCACCCUCCUCUCCACCGCCCGCGACCCCCUCCUCCUCUCCUCCGCCGCCGCGGACCCCCAGCCCGAUCCCGUCGCCGCGGCAGCAGCGGCCGCGGUGAACGGGGUCGGGCUGGAUGCGGAGAAGAAGAAGGGGAGGCCAAGCGGCAGGGCGCAGGAGAGGGAGGCGAAAGCGCAACCGGCGCCGGCACUAGCGUCGCGCGUGUUCUUCUCCGUCGGCGCUGCCCUUCCUCCCGCCGCCGCGCAGAAGCCGCCGACCAGCGCCUCUGCUUCUCCCACGACGACGUCGAGACGCCGCGUCCGCCGCGGACCCCCAGCCCGAUCCCGUCGC
RNAcentral lists this long non-coding RNA (575 nucleotides) under Ananas comosus (pineapple). RNAcentral's name for it is "long non-coding RNA (ACOM_LNC039626)". Lineage: Eukaryota; Viridiplantae; Streptophyta; Magnoliopsida; Poales; Bromeliaceae. The record is from RNAcentral.